AUUCCAAAGGUUUUUAUGCACAGAUCGUGAUAUUAUUUGCUUUAUACUUAGUUUUAAAAUAUGAGUUUGUGGAAUUUGCCAGUAAUGCAAGAAGCUUCGGUAAAAUUUCGACAGCAAUACAGAAAUUUCGCUGAAAAUUUCUAAAGGGGAAAACAAGGAAGUGCGUGUUUAGAUGGCUGCUGUUGCCGAAGAUUGCAUGAAGCCGAGUCUUCGCAGUUCUCUGAUGUUUUUUGAGUGAAACCAAAUCUCUGUGUUUUUCGGGAGAAUAAUAACUCCAAAAAAUACAGAAAGAGUCGAAGAAGAAUCUGUUACCAGGUCCACGUGUGGAUGAAUGAUUAAAAUGCUGAAGUCAAUAGUUUGCUCGGAGUUUGAAUUUUGAUGAAGGGGUUGGCUGAAUAGACGCUUGUGUUUUUCCUGACCUGUAAAGAACUAAGGUGGGACACGACAGAAGCUGACAGACGGGAAAAGAAAAAACUCGGAGCCUCAAUGCGAAUGAAUAAAACUGUAUGUUGUGAAAUAAAAGUGAAUUUCAUCAGAGAAAUAUUUUCAGCUAUUGGAAGAAUGAGAGAAAUGUUUAAAAGAGAAUAAUGUAUUACUAAAGUGCUUAAUUUUAAGCUUAAAGAAUUAGCUUAUUAAAAAUGUUUUAGGAAUUUA
Stegodyphus dumicola is the source of this 654-nucleotide long non-coding RNA. Lineage: Eukaryota; Metazoa; Arthropoda; Arachnida; Araneae; Eresidae. The record is from RefSeq and is a predicted model, not a curated record.